This is a long non-coding RNA of Quercus robur (English oak), 437 nucleotides long. RefSeq lists it as uncharacterized. The record is from RefSeq and is a predicted model, not a curated record. Lineage: Eukaryota; Viridiplantae; Streptophyta; Magnoliopsida; Fagales; Fagaceae. The transcript has 3 exons.
AGGAAUCAUGUUACUCAAGUGAUUAUAAGACAAAUCAAGGUACUCAAUAGAACUAAGAUUGCAAAAUGAGGAAGAGAUUUGUCCAGUUAUAUUAUUCCUGGAGACUGAAAAGAAAGAUAUGCCUAGUGGAGGUACUGGAAGUGGUCCUUGAAGCAAGUUAGAACGAAAAUCAAGAUAUUCCAAGUUCUUCCACGGAAGGUGUCCUACACUUGUCAAUGAGUUGUAUGAAAGAUUCAAGUAAGACAAUGAAUCCUUCCCCGCCUCCAAAAACCACUUUGGAAUAUUGCCUUUGAUUUGGUUGUGGGAAAGGUCUAAGGUUUCAAUAUAUUCUGCAGUUUGUAAAAAGUGUGGAAUUUCAGUUAUGUUGGAAUAAGACAACUCUAAUGAAACAAUUUUGGGUAAGAUAUUGGUGGCAAAGGUGAAGGAGCUUGGUGACA